AGCAGCCGCGGUAAUUCCAGCUCCAAUAGCGUAUAUUAAAGUUGUUGCAGUUAAAAAGCUCGUAGUUGAAUUUCGGGGUUAGUAAGUUGGUCAUGCCUUUGGUAUGCACUGGCUUUACUGAUUCCUCCUUCUUGACGAACCGUGAUGUCAUUAAUUUGGUGUUGCGGGAAAUCAGGACUGUUACUUUGAAAAAAUUAGAGUGUCUAAAGCAGGCUAACGCUUGAAUACAUUAGCAUGGAAUAAUGAAAUAGGACGUUAAUCCUAUUUUGUUGGUUUCUAGGAUCGACGUAAUGAUUAAUAGGGAUAGUUGGGGGCAUUAGUAUUCAAUUGUCAGAGGCGAAAUUCUUGGAUUUAUUGAAGACUAACUACUGCGAAAGCAUUUGCCAAGGAUGUUUUCAUUAAUCAAGAACGAAAGUUAGGGGAUCGAAGACGAUCAGAUACCGUCGUAGUCUUAACCAUAAACUAUGCCGACUAGGGAUCGGAUGAUGUUAAUUCUUUAAUGACUCA
Molecule: ribosomal RNA, 507 nt
Filed under: uncultured fungus
Lineage: Eukaryota; Fungi
Description: SSU rRNA
Rfam family: Eukaryotic small subunit ribosomal RNA
Source: RNAcentral